UGCUACGGCCGUGGGGCGUUGACACACCCGAUCCUUCUGACCUAGGAAGUUAAGCAACGUGCAGUCCGGACAGUACUUGAAUGGGAGACCACCAAGGAAGACUGGAUGCUGUAGCCA
This 117-nucleotide ribosomal RNA is filed under the name Branchiostoma floridae (Florida lancelet). The record is from RNAcentral. Lineage: Eukaryota; Metazoa; Chordata; Leptocardii; Amphioxiformes; Branchiostomatidae.